Molecule: ribosomal RNA, 1961 nt
Filed under: metagenome
Description: bacterial LSU rRNA
Rfam family: Bacterial large subunit ribosomal RNA
Source: RNAcentral
UCAAGCUACUAAGGGCAUACGGCGGAUGCCUAGGCGCCAAGAGCCGAUGAAGGACGCGGUAAGCUGCGAAAAGCCACGGGGAACUGCAAGCAAGUAUCGAUCCGUGGAUGUCCGAAUGGGGAAACCCAAUAGCCGUCAUGGGCUAUUACCCUGUAAUGGGGAGGGAACCCGGGGAACUGAAACAUCUAAGUACCCGGAGGAAGAGAAAUCAAACGAGAUGCCCCCAGUAGCGGCGAGCGAAGCGGGCAGAGCCUAAACCGGGAAGCUACGGCUUUCCGGGGUUACGGACCAGUAUAAUUGAAGCCAGGCCUAGUCGAAUUACCUGGAAAGGUAAGCCAUAGGGUGUAAGAGCCACGUAGACGAAAGGCAGAGCAGAGAGACUGGUAUCCAGAGUACCACGAAACACGAGAAACUUUGUGGGAAGUAGGGGGGACCACCCUCCAAGGCUAAACACUACUUGGCGACCGAUAGCGCAUAGUACCGUGAGGGAAAGGUGAAAAGAACCCCGGAAGGGGAGUGAAAUAGUACCUGAAACCGUAUGUCUACAAGCAGUCGGAGCGAAAGCGACGGCGUGCCUAUUGAAGAAUGAGCCAACGAGUUACGUGCACUAGCGAGGUUAAGCGGGAAACGCGGAGCCGCAGCGAAAGCGAGUCUGAAUAGGGCGAUAGUUAGUGUACGUAGACCCGAAACUGCAGUGAUCUACCCAUGUCCAGGUUGAAGCGCAGGUAAAAUUGCGUGGAGGACCGAACCCGUGAACGUUGAAAAGUUUUGGGAUGAGAUGUGGGUAGCGGUGAAAUUCCAAUCGAACGCAGAGAUAGCUGGUUCUCCUCGAAAUAGCUUUAGGGCUAGCCUCAGGUAGUAAGUAUAGGCGGUAGAGCACUGAUCGGGCUAGGGGGCGUAAAGUCUACCGAACCCUGUCAAACUCCGAAUGGUUAUACUGCAAAGCCUGGGAGUCAGACUACGGGUGAUAAGAUUCGUGGUCAAAAGGGAAACAGCCCAGACCACCAGCUAAGGUCCCAAAUGCCGUACUAAGUGGCAAAGGAUGUGGGGUUACAUAAACAACCAGGAUGUUGGCUUAGAAGCAGCCACCAUUUAAAGAGUGCGUAAUAGCUCACUGGUCGAGUGACCCUGCGCCGAAGAUUCCCGGGGCUAAAGUACGGAACCGAAGCUGUGGAUGCAUUGCUUGAGCAAUGCGUGGUAGAGGAGCGUUCCCAUCGGGUUGAAGUCGUUCUGUAAGGAACGGUGGACUGGUGGGAAGUGAGAAUGUUGGCAUGAGUAGCGAAAAGAAAGGUGAGAAUCCUUUCCACCGAAAGCAUAAGGAUUCCUGAGCAACGCUCGUCGUCUCAGGGUAAGUCGGGGCCUAAUCCGAGGCAUAAAGCGUAGGAGAUGGACAACUGGUUGAUAUUCCAGUACCGGUAAUGUUUGUUUGAGCAAUGGAGUGACACAGAAGGGCAGGCAAUCACGAGAUUGGUAGUUCGUGUGCAAGCAUGUAGGGUGGAGCGUAGGCAAAUCCGCGCUUCUGAGCCUGAGGUGUGAUGCGGAGGCAAGAAAUUGCCGAAGUUGCUGACCCCACGCUGUCGAGAAAAGCUUCUAGUUAGAACAUGACCGCCCGUACCGUAAACCGACACAGGUAUGCGGGGAGAGAAUCCUAAGGUGCGCGGGAGAACCCUCGUUAAGGAACUCGGCAAAAUGUACCCGUAACUUCGGGAUAAGGGUAGCCAUCAGGGUGAAGGGACUUGCUCCUGGAGCCUAGUAUGGUCGCAGAGAAGAGGCCCAAGCGACUGUUUACCAUAAACACAGGUGCCUGCUAAAGAGAAAUCUGACGUAUAGGUGCUGACACCUGCCCAGUGCCGGAAGGUUAAGGAAGGAUGUUCGGAUUAGUCCAAAGCAUUUGACCGAAGCCCCGGUGAACGGCGGCCGUAACUAUAACGGUCCUAAGGUAGCGAAAUUCCUUGUCGGGU